This 450-nucleotide ribosomal RNA is filed under the name uncultured bacterium. RNAcentral's name for it is "partial 16S ribosomal RNA". It matches the Rfam family "Bacterial small subunit ribosomal RNA", at positions 354 to 796 of the family's 1533-position model. The record is from RNAcentral.
GUGGGGAAUAUUGGACAAUGGGCGAAAGCCUGAUCCAGCCAUGCCGCGUGUGUGAAGAAGGUCUUCGGAUUGUAAAGCACUUUAAGUUGGGAGGAAGGGCAGUAAGUUAAUACCUUGCUGUUUUGACGUUACCGACAGAAUAAGCACCGGCUAACUUCGUGCCAGCAGCCGCGGUAAUACGAAGGGUGCAAGCGUUAAUCGGAAUUACUGGGCGUAAAGCGCGCGUAGGUGGUUUUUUAAGUUGGAGGUGAAAUCCCCGGGCUCAACCUGGGAACUGCCUCCAAAACUGCAUGACUAGAGUACGGUAGAGGGUAGUGGAAUUUCCUGUGUAGCGGUGAAAUGCGUAGAUAUAGGAAAGAACACCAGUGGCGAAGGCGACUACCUGGACUGAUACUGACACUGAGGUGCGAAAGCGUGGGGAGCAAACAGGAUUAGAAACCCGAGUAGUCC